Molecule: RNA transcript, 2176 nt
Organism: Dermochelys coriacea (leatherback sea turtle)
Lineage: Eukaryota; Metazoa; Chordata; Testudines; Dermochelyidae
Gene: BRCC3
Gene name: BRCA1/BRCA2-containing complex subunit 3
Exons: 9
Source: RefSeq, a predicted model, not a curated record
UGCGGCGUGUCCCGGGCUUCCGGGGUGGGUGGAGUGGCGUUGCUAAGAUGGCGGUGCAGGCUGUGCACCUGGAAGCGGAUGCCUUCCUGGUCUGCCUCAACCACGCGCUGAGCACCGAGAAGGAGGAGGUCAUGGGGUUGUGCAUCGGGGAGGUACCGGCUGGGCCGCGGGCAGGCGGGCUCCCAGAGCCUGGGCGCUGGGUUGACACCAGCAGAAUUGUUCAUAUUCAUUCUGUGAUCAUCCUGCGACGUUCAGAUAAGAGGAAGGAUCGAGUCGAGAUUUCUCCGGAGCAGCUUUCAGCUGCUUCUACUGAAGCAGAGAGAUUGGCUGAGAUUACAGGACGUUCCAUGAGGGUUGUGGGCUGGUAUCAUUCUCAUCCACACAUAACUGUCUGGCCGUCUCAUGUGGAUGUUCGCACUCAAGCCAUGUAUCAGAUGAUGGACCAGGGCUUUGUGGGGCUCAUCUUCUCCUGUUUCAUUGAGGACAAGAACACAAAGACAGGCCGGAUACUCUACACCUGUUUCCAGUCAAUUCAGGCUCAGAAGAGCUCAGAGUAUGAGAGGAUUGAAAUUCCUAUUCAUGUUGUUCCCCAUGACACCAUUGGCAAAGUGUGCCUGGAAUCAGCGGUGGAGCUGCCCAAGAUCUUGUGCCAGGAGGAGCAAGAUGCAUACAGGAGAAUUCACAGCCUCACCCAUCUAGACUCUGUAACCAAGAUUCACAAUGGCUCAGGUAAGGGUUCCUCUUCUGGGAAUAAGGAUGCUGGAUUGUGAGUUGAAUUAUGAGUCAUCUUGUGGUCUUGAAAAAUGGUCAUUUUGGGUCUGUCUAUAGAGGGCAGUAGACCACAAUGUCUAUCACCAUGGAUUGUAACCACGUGUCCACUUGGAGAUGUUCGGCAUUGAGCCAGCCUGUGUACAGAUUACUUCACCCAAGUUUAGCACUAUGUUUUGAUCUUGCCAUGUAGUUCAUGUCUUGCUCCACAGCUUGACUGACAUUCAGACUUGUCCAUUCUUAUAUUGGGGGCUAGGGAAGUUCAGCAGUGAAUCAAAUUAUUCAUUAACAUUUCUGGUGUUUGGAAGGGUGGGGGCAACUGACUUCUAAUGUGAGCUAAAUCACAAGUGGAAUGAACUGGGUGGCCUCCUUCAGUUUAUCCAUUUGGUUUUAAACCAUGAUAGAAUUUGAUUUGGUGUUACAACAACACAGGGUAUUGUAGUAUGGAUGCAUCUUAAAGAUUACUCCUGGGUGAAUUCAUGCUCUCCAUAGAUAUAUUUGCUUCCCCUCAGAAAAAUGACUUUUUGACAGGGAGCAUAAAAAGGGGAAGCAAAGGGAAGCAGCAAGAGCGGUCACGAGCCCCUUUCCAACAGGGCAGAUGCAUUGUUUUAGGGGCCCGGAGCAGCUGGUGGAGAGGAAAAUCACUGCCGAGCCCCAGGCCCCGUCCUCUACCCCCCCAACCUUCCACUGAGCCCCAGCCACCUUCACCUGGACUUCCCUGCAGAGUCCCAUUGCUCUUGUAAUGGAAGCCCCCAUUGACACCUUUGCAUCCAGAUCCUCCCCACAUCCGGUCCCCCCACUGAAUUGCCCGCACCCAGAUUACCCAACACUAAGCCCCUUCACGACUGAGCCUGCCUACCCACACCUGAUGUGCCUGGUGCAGAGGGGCAGGACCUCGGGAUGUUUCUGGGUCAGACCCAGACCUUGCGCUAUGUCAGAGUUGGGUGCAGCCUCGCCACUGAGUCCAUACCCCUUGGUGGAGGGGAGAGAAAGGAGCUGCAAGGAGAUCUCCCACCUCCGUGUAGCCAGUGGUCUGUCCUCCAGGAUGGCAGUGGGGAGCCUCCACAUUUAUUUAUUGACAAAUCUUGCAGAAUUUUCAAAUACUGGGUGCAGAAUUUUAAUUUUUUUGGCACAGAAUUCCCUCAGGAGUAGUCUUAGAGCUGCGUUGGUCCGGAAUUGAAAUCGGGGUAAAGGGGGCCAAUCCAUUCUCCUGCGGACACCUGGUGCUUCUGCAUUGUUCACCAAGAAUCUCUGCAGCCAAAUGUCUGCUAUCAGUGGUCCCCUCCUGCAGUGGCUGGAGGACAGACUGGAGCAGAACAAACAGCGGGUGCAGGAACUGCAGCGAGAGAAAGAGGAGCUCAUGGAAGAACUAGCUGCCCUGGAGUGAAGAGGCAACCCCAGACCCCUU